Molecule: ribosomal RNA, 599 nt
Filed under: Pseudoalteromonas sp. AmSamHH4
Lineage: Bacteria; Pseudomonadati; Pseudomonadota; Gammaproteobacteria; Alteromonadales; Pseudoalteromonadaceae
Description: bacterial SSU rRNA
Rfam family: Bacterial small subunit ribosomal RNA
Source: RNAcentral
CUCUGGCGUCGAGCGGCGGACGGGUGAGUAAUGCUUGGGAAUAUGCCUUAUGGUGGGGGACAACAGUUGGAAACGACUGCUAAUACCGCAUGAUGUCUACGGACCAAAGUGGGGGACCUUCGGGCCUCACGCCAUAAGAUUAGCCCAAGUGGGAUUAGCUAGUUGGUGAGGUAAUGGCUCACCAAGGCGACGAUCCCUAGCUGGUUUGAGAGGAUGAUCAGCCACACUGGGACUGAGACACGGCCCAGACUCCUACGGGAGGCAGCAGUGGGGAAUAUUGCACAAUGGGCGCAAGCCUGAUGCAGCCAUGCCGCGUGUGUGAAGAAGGCCUUCGGGUUGUAAAGCACUUUCAGUAAGGAGGAAAGGUUAAGUGUUAAUAGCACUUAGCUGUGACGUUACUUACAGAAGAAGCACCGGCUAACUCCGUGCCAGCAGCCGCGGUAAUACGGAGGGUGCGAGCGUUAAUCGGAAUUACUGGGCGUAAAGCGUACGCAGGCGGUUUGUUAAGCGAGAUGUGAAAGCCCCGGGCUCAACCUGGGAACUGCAUUUCGAACUGGCAAACUAGAGUGUGAUAGAGGGUGGUAGAAUUUCAGGUGUAG